AACGAACGCUGGCGGCAGGCUUAACACAUGCAAGUCGAACGGGCGUAGCAAUACGUCAGUGGCAGACGGGUGAGUAACACGUGGGAACCUUCCUAGGGGUACGGAACAACUCAGGGAAACUUGAGCUAAUACCGUAUACGUCCGUAAGGAGAAAGAUUCAUCGCCCCUAGACGGGCCCGCGUCGGAUUAGGUAGUUGGUGGGGUAACGGCCUACCAAGCCUACGAUCCGUAGCUGAUCUGAGAGGAUGAUCAGCCACACUGGGACUGAGACACGGCCCAGACUCCUACGGGAGGCAGCAGUGGGGAACCUUGGACAAUGGGCGCAAGCCUGAUCCAGCCAUGCCGCGUGAGUGAAGAAGGCCUUAGGGUUGUAAAGCUCUUUUACCAGGGACGAUAAUGACGGUACCUGGAGAAUAAGCCCCGGCAAACUUCGUGCCAGCCGCCGCAGUAAG
This 452-nucleotide ribosomal RNA is filed under the name uncultured bacterium. RNAcentral's name for it is "bacterial SSU rRNA". It matches the Rfam family "Bacterial small subunit ribosomal RNA", at positions 29 to 524 of the family's 1533-position model. The record is from RNAcentral.